CAAUAGCGUAUAUUAAAGCUGUUGCGGUUAAAAAGCUCGUAGUUGGAUUUCUGUCAAGUACAACUGGUCCGCCCUCCGGGUGAGCACAUAGUUUGGUCUUGGCAUCUUGCUGGAAAUUGUUGCUGCACUUGGCUGUGUGGCGCAGUGUCCAGCACUUUCACUUUGAGGAAAUUGGAGUGUUUCAAGCAGGCAAUGCCUUUGAACACAGUAGCAUGGAAUAAUUAGAUUGGGCUUUUGCUCCAAUUUGUCGGUUUCUGGAGCUGAGGUGAGAAUUAAUGGGGAUUGUUGGGGGCAUCCGAAUUUAGCCGUCAGAGGUGAAAUUCUUGGAUCGGCUAAAGACGGACAACUGCGAAAGCGUUUGCCAAGGAUGUUUUCAUUG
RNAcentral lists this ribosomal RNA (379 nucleotides) under uncultured eukaryote. Its description in RNAcentral is "partial 18S ribosomal RNA". It matches the Rfam family "Eukaryotic small subunit ribosomal RNA", at positions 592 to 975 of the family's 1831-position model. The record is from RNAcentral.